GUAGACUAGCCAAACCCUCCUUUGCAGUGCUGUGGAGGAAGGUCUGGAAAAGCGGCACUAUAUUAAGAUUAGCAUCAUCAUUAGCAUUGCUAGCAAAAGUUGGACCUGUAUGAUGCUGACCUGAAGCAACGCUGGACCACGAACCCGACAAGGAGACCCCUAGACACCAGGUAUGGUGCGUGGCAAUUUGUUUGUGGUAACUUGAUAAAUUACUUUUUUGUUUAGUUACAUUGAAUGCACCACCAAAGAGCAAUUGAAAUGAAAUGAGCCUAAGUUAACCAUCAGACAAGACAAAGAAAACAGAGCUUGUUAAAACCAGCACAGUUUUGACAUUUUUACUUUUAAAAAAAUACUCCCUCAAGUAAUUCAUAACCAAAAUUGUUAACAAUUAAAUUGCUGCCAUAGACAAAUCGAUUAAUCAACUAAUCGUUUCAGCUCUACCCAAAAGAGAAACUGUUCAACUGGCUGAUCAACACUGCUAUCAAAGAGCCAGAUGCACCUGGACCACAGGAAAGCUCAGAAACAACGUUCAGAAGUUCAUCAGACAGUCUCAGUCCACAUACAGAGGCAACAAACUUCACCUAACACCAGUCAACAGACGUCAGCAUGAAGUGUUUGCUUUCCACUCUGUCACCUGACACAGCUGACUGAUAAAAGAAAACAAAAG
Molecule: long non-coding RNA, 667 nt
Organism: Etheostoma spectabile (orangethroat darter)
Lineage: Eukaryota; Metazoa; Chordata; Actinopteri; Perciformes; Percidae
Exons: 2
Source: RefSeq, a predicted model, not a curated record